This 236-nucleotide small RNA is filed under the name Staphylococcus aureus. Its description in RNAcentral is "5' ureB small RNA". It matches the Rfam family "5' ureB small RNA", at positions 12 to 252 of the family's 292-position model. The record is from RNAcentral. Lineage: Bacteria; Bacillati; Bacillota; Bacilli; Caryophanales; Staphylococcaceae.
UGUUCAGGAUUAAUAAAAUGAACAUGAGUAUCAAUACCACCAGCAGUGACGAUUUUACCUUCAGCGGCAAUGAUAUCUGUUGUUGAACCUAUAAUAAUGUCGACAUUAUCCAUUAUAUCUGGGUUGCCGGCAUUACCUAUGGCGAAAAUAUAACCAUUUUUAAUGCCUAUAUCAGCUUUAACCACUUUAUCGUAAUCGAUAAUAACGGCAUUAGAAAUGACAAGGUCUGCAACGUU